This 103-nucleotide ribosomal RNA is filed under the name Yoania amagiensis. RNAcentral's name for it is "4.5S ribosomal RNA". Lineage: Eukaryota; Viridiplantae; Streptophyta; Magnoliopsida; Asparagales; Orchidaceae. The record is from RNAcentral.
AAGGUCACGGCAAGACGAGCCGUUUAUCAUUAUGAUAGUUGUCAAGUGUAAGUACAGUUAUGUAUGCAGCUGAGGCAUCCUAACAGACCAAUAGAUUUGAACC